Long non-coding RNA from Hyla sarda, 1116 nucleotides. RefSeq lists it as uncharacterized. NCBI's taxonomy places the organism in Eukaryota, Metazoa, Chordata, Amphibia, Anura, Hylidae. The transcript is spliced from 3 exons. The record is from RefSeq and is a predicted model, not a curated record.
ACAUAGGAGAGCAGACGUCCCCAGCGUGCGGUGUCUGCUCAGAAAGAUUUUUUAAAGGGCCAGAUCUUUUUAAUUCUAAAGAGGAUUAUAAAAAAAAAAAAAGUGACAGAUUCAGAGACAGGGCAAGAAGGAGAAGACAGCCGAGCUACUUACUGUACUCUGUCCCCUCUCCUCGGGGAACAGGAGUGCCGAGCAGCAGCAGGGGACCGGGAGCCAAGGAGAGGAGCUGAGCGAUCCCGGCCCCUGCACCCUUAUCCCCCCAUGCAGUGGCCAGGCCGGGGCCCAGCAAUGUCCAUAGUAGAAGCAGGAGCUGCUGCCCCCUGAAUCCUGUGUCUGUCACUUCUGUAUUGUACAGUGCAAUUCAAGCGCUUAGUCUGCCCCGGCAGAGGGCCCCUUCUCAUGUCUUACCCCCUCAUCACAGGGACCGCAGCACCUUGUUAUGGCCCAGCAUUAACAUCAUUUAUUCUAACAGCACAACACUCACAUAGUGAUCCAAAAAAAAGGGCACCUGAAGGAGGGUCAUCAAAGGGGCAGGGGUUCAAGCCCCCAUUGUAAUCUAUGUGUUCACAUCCCAGGACAUAUGGGAGCAUUUCCAGAGAUAGGGUAUGUUCACACGUACAGGAUCUGCUGUAUAUUUUUGCAGCUAAUUUCGCUAUCCCUUGAAGUUAAUGGGGAGCAAAAUCAGCUGCUCAAAAUAUGCAGCAGAUCCUGUAUGUGUGAAUGUACCCAUAGUCAGCAAAUAGUAAACCCCAAAAUGUAGUAAGAAUAGAACCCUAUCCUCAUCAUAUCCAGCAGGUUUCGCUGAUCUAUUUUUUUCUCAUAAUUCUCUUUUCUUUAUUUCUCUUUUAGGGAGAUGCCCAAACAAAAAAGAACACUUUGAUAAUUGCAGCUGUGUGUGCUUGGAGGACAAGUGCUUUGGCACUUCCGUGUCAUUUACAUGCAUGCUCUAUCAAAUAGAAUUGCUUUUAAUCAUCACUAGAUGCAACAUAUAUGUAAGUAAAUACAAUACUUUAUUUAAACUUCCUUAAGUUUCGUGUUAGUCACAACACUCUUAGCUAACUAGUUCUUUUGUCAUGCACUUUCUCAUGCUAACAUGCAACUUUCCUAUCCUUGGGA